This 270-nucleotide ribosomal RNA is filed under the name uncultured archaeon. RNAcentral's name for it is "partial 16S ribosomal RNA". It matches the Rfam family "Archaeal small subunit ribosomal RNA", at positions 477 to 747 of the family's 1478-position model. The record is from RNAcentral.
CAGCACCUCAAGUGGUCAGGAUGAUUAUUGGGCCUAAAGCAUCCGUAGCUUGCUUUGUCAGUUUUCGGUUAAAUCCAUACGCUCAGCGUAUGGGCUGCCGGGAAUACUGCAAGGCUAGGGAGUGGGAGAGGUAGACGGUACUCGGUAGGAAGGGGUAAAAUCCUUUGAUCUAUUGAUGACCACCUGUGGCGAAGGCGGUCUACCAGAACACGUCCGACGGUGAGGGAUGAAAGCUGGGGGAGCAAACCGGAUUAGAUACCCGAGUAGUCC